AAAAAAAAAAAAAAAAAAAACCAUCAGUUGGGAUAUGAUAUUUGGUUCUAUGUUUGUUUUGGCGAAAUGGUUUCCUUUGCCGAUUACUAAUCGGGCGCUCUCUUUCAAUUUCGAGAGGGAGUGUAGGAG
Molecule: non-coding RNA, 129 nt
Filed under: Thalassiosira oceanica
Lineage: Eukaryota; Bacillariophyta; Thalassiosirophyceae; Thalassiosirales; Thalassiosiraceae
Source: RNAcentral